GAUCUUGGUUCAGAACGAACGCUGGUGGCGUGUCUUAUACAUGCAAGUCGAGCGAGGCAGCAAUGCCGAGCGGCGAACGGGUGAGUAACGCGUAAGCAAUCUGCCCCAUAUCAGGAAAUACCCGUGCCAACGCGCGGUUAAUGUCCAGGAGAGUGGCUCCUUGCAUGAGGAGUUGACUAGAGAUUUAUCGGUAUGGGAUGAGCUUGCGUCCGAUUAGCUAGUUGGCGGGCAACGGCCCACCAAGGCGACGAUCGGUAGCCGGCCUGAGAGGGUGAUCGGCCACAUUGGGACUGAGAUACGGCCCAGACUCCUACGGGAGGCAGCAGUAGGGAAUAUUGCACAAUGGGGGAAACCCUGAUGCAGCAACGCCAACCGUGUGGGAAGAAGCAUUUCGGUGUGUAAACCACUGUCAUGAGGGAAUAAGGCCCGCCUUCGGACGGGGUUGAAUGUACCUUGAGAGGAAGCACCGGCAAACUUCGUGCCAGCAGCCGC
This 492-nucleotide ribosomal RNA is filed under the name uncultured bacterium. RNAcentral describes it as "bacterial SSU rRNA". It matches the Rfam family "Bacterial small subunit ribosomal RNA", at positions 15 to 518 of the family's 1533-position model. The record is from RNAcentral.